AGAGAAAGAAAAGUGGCUUCAAUAAAUGGUGCGGGGAAAACUGGACAGACAUAUGCAAAAGAAUGAAAGUAGACCACCUUCUUUCACCAUACA
Non-coding RNA from Ceratotherium simum simum (southern white rhinoceros), 93 nucleotides. The record is from RefSeq and is a predicted model, not a curated record. NCBI's taxonomy places the organism in Eukaryota, Metazoa, Chordata, Mammalia, Perissodactyla, Rhinocerotidae.